ACACAGAAAUAUUCAGACUCUAAACUCUCUAAUUACAACACGUUAUCAGCACGAUAGACUCUCAAAACCCUGAGAAAGAAAAUCGCCAAUCCGUAACCCUAAACUAAAAUCCGUCACACAUAAACCCUAAAUCCGGCGCAACUUAAAAUCGAUCGAUCUCUCAAACCCUGAAGAGCCAGACGACGAUCCACAUAUCAUCUUGAAGCCCUUGACGAGACGAAUCCGUCAGCGCAAACAGUUCGUCGAUCUGAUCUCAGACGCGCCCUCACGCUCAUCUACAAUACACGUCGCCGUUUUACUUUUGGAACCCUAAUCCCGAAGAACCCUAAAUUGUUCUUGCUUGCGUUCCGGCUUGCAAACAU
RNAcentral lists this long non-coding RNA (362 nucleotides) under Brassica napus (rape). RNAcentral's name for it is "long non-coding RNA (BNAP_LNC012837)". The record is from RNAcentral. Lineage: Eukaryota; Viridiplantae; Streptophyta; Magnoliopsida; Brassicales; Brassicaceae.